Gallus gallus (chicken) is the source of this 330-nucleotide long non-coding RNA. The record is from Ensembl. Lineage: Eukaryota; Metazoa; Chordata; Aves; Galliformes; Phasianidae.
CAGGCCCAAUGCUUUUUCCUCUUGUUUCAGAAGCAACCACUCCCAGGGAUGCUCAUGACACUUGAUUUGAUGCAGGCUGACCGUUGCACAGGUCAUUUUAUUUACAGUGCAGCAUAUUCCAAAAGGACAAAACCAGCACAUGAUGAGACCAGACAUGAAGCUUCCCAUUCCAAGAGAUCUCAGCCAUUUCUCUCAGGCUCCUCACAGCUUUAACAGUGGUUAAGCCCACACAAAAGGAGAGAAGAGCUGAAGAAAUGAAGAUACCCAAAUGGUCUUUGCAAGUGGCAGCUGGGGACAAUUUGUUCUGAAUUGGGGGGAGGUGAUGGGCAG